GCCCUGAUGUGGGGGAUAACCAUUGGAAACGAUGGCUAAUACCGCAUAAUGCCUACGGGCCAAAGAGGGGGACCUUCGGGCCUCUCGCGUCAGGAUAUGCCUAGGUGGGAUUAGCUAGUUGGUGAGGUAAUGGCUCACCAAGGCGACGAUCCCUAGCUGGUCUGAGAGGAUGAUCAGCCACACUGGAACUGAGACACGGUCCAGACUCCUACGGGAGGCAGCAGUGGGGAAUAUUGCACAAUGGGCGCAAGCCUGAUGCAGCCAUGCCGCGUGUGUGAAGAAGGCCUUCGGGUUGUAAAGCACUUUCAGUCGUGAGGAAGGUAGUGUAGUUAAUAGCUGCAUUAUUUGACGUUAGCGACAGAAGAAGCACCGGCUAACUCCGUGCCAGCAGCCGCGGUAAUACGGAGGGUGCGAGCGUUAAUCGGAAUUACUGGGCGUAAAGCGCAUGCAGGUGGUUUGUUAAGUCAGAUGUGAAAGCCCGGGGCUCAACCUCGGAAUUGCAUU
RNAcentral lists this ribosomal RNA (504 nucleotides) under Vibrio sp. CR-I-E2. RNAcentral describes it as "bacterial SSU rRNA". It matches the Rfam family "Bacterial small subunit ribosomal RNA", at positions 128 to 627 of the family's 1533-position model. Lineage: Bacteria; Pseudomonadati; Pseudomonadota; Gammaproteobacteria; Vibrionales; Vibrionaceae. The record is from RNAcentral.